This 492-nucleotide ribosomal RNA is filed under the name uncultured bacterium. RNAcentral's name for it is "partial 16S ribosomal RNA". It matches the Rfam family "Bacterial small subunit ribosomal RNA", at positions 29 to 507 of the family's 1533-position model. The record is from RNAcentral.
AGUGAACGCUGGCGGUAGGCCUAACACAUGCAAGUCGAACGGCAGCACAGUAAGAGCUUGCUCUUACGGGUGGCGAGUGGCGGACGGGUGAGGAAUACAUCGGAAUCUACUUUUUCGUGGGGGAUAACGUAGGGAAACUUACGCUAAUACCGCAUACGACCUACGGGUGAAAGCAUGGGAUCUUCGGACCUUGCGCGAUUGAAUGAGCCGAUGUCGGAUUAGCUAGUUGGCGGGGUAAAGGCCCACCAAGGCGACGAUCCGUAGCUGGUCUGAGAGGAUGAUCAGCCACACUGGAACUGAGACACGGUCCACACUCCUACGGGAGGCAGCAGUGGGGAAUAUUGGACAAUGGGCGCAAGCCUGAUCCAGCCAUGCCGCGUGGGUGAAGAAGGCCUUCGGGUUGUAAAGCCCUUUUGUUGGGAAAGAAAAGCAGCAGGUUAAUACCCCGCUGUUCUGACGGUACCCAAAGAAUAAGCACCGGCUAACUUCGUG